RNAcentral lists this ribosomal RNA (481 nucleotides) under uncultured soil bacterium. Its description in RNAcentral is "bacterial SSU rRNA". It matches the Rfam family "Bacterial small subunit ribosomal RNA", at positions 26 to 518 of the family's 1533-position model. The record is from RNAcentral.
AGAUUGAACGCUGGCGGCAGGCCUAACACAUGCAAGUCGAGCGGUAGAGAGGUGCUUGCAUCUCUUGAGAGCGGCGGACGGGUGAGUAAUGCCUAGGAAUCUGCCUAGUGGUGGGGGAUAACGUUCGGAAACGGACGCUAAUACCGCAUACGUCCUACGGGAGAAAGCGGGGGACCUUCGGGCCUCGCGCCAUUAGAUGAGCCUAGGUCGGAUUAGCUAGUUGGUGAGGUAAUGGCUCACCAAGGCGACGAUCCGUAACUGGUCUGAGAGGAUGAUCAGUCACACUGGAACUGAGACACGGUCCAGACUCCUACGGGAGGCAGCAGUGGGGAAUAUUGGACAAUGGGCGAAAGCCUGAUCCAGCCAUGCCGCGUGUGUAGAAGAAGGUCUUCGGAUUAGUAAAGCUACGUUUAAAGUUGGGAAGGUAAGGGUUUAGUAAACUUUAAGUACGUUAGACCUAACGUUUAGAACCGUUAACCGA